CCCUUAGAUGUUCUGGGCCGCACGCGCGCUACACUGAUGCAUUCAACGAGUCUAAAACCUGCUCUGAUAGGGGUGGGUAAUCUUUUGAAUGUGCAUCGUGAUUGGGAUAGAUGAUUGCAAUUUUUCAUCUUCAACGAGGAAUGCCUAGUAAACGCAAGUCAUCAGCUUGCAUUGAUUACGUCCCUGCCCUUUGUACACACCGCCCGUCGCUCCUACCGAUUGAAUGAUCCGAUGAAUAUCAUGGAUUGAGGAUGCAAGCAGGAUCGCCUGUCUUCAUCUUCGAGAAGUGAAGUAAAUCUUAUCAUUUAGAGGAAGGAGAAGUCGUAACA
This 329-nucleotide ribosomal RNA is filed under the name uncultured eukaryote. RNAcentral's name for it is "partial 18S ribosomal RNA". It matches the Rfam family "Eukaryotic small subunit ribosomal RNA", at positions 1470 to 1796 of the family's 1831-position model. The record is from RNAcentral.